UUAAAUUGAAACUAGAAAAAAAUCAAUUGAAAAAACUAAAUUAAGAAAAAAAACAAAAUAAUCAAUUAGAAAACCCAAAAAAUAUUUCAGUCCAACUUUAGUUUCAAAAUUCUAAAACUAAUUGAAUUGGACUAGUUCAACCAACAUUAAACCAUACUAUAUAAAACUAAUAAGUAUAAAAAAAAAUCCUAAAAUUAAACCUCUCCUCAC
RNAcentral lists this long non-coding RNA (210 nucleotides) under Populus trichocarpa (black cottonwood). RNAcentral's name for it is "long non-coding RNA (PTRI_LNC001830)". The record is from RNAcentral. Lineage: Eukaryota; Viridiplantae; Streptophyta; Magnoliopsida; Malpighiales; Salicaceae.